GGCCCGUUAGGGUAGCGGUCAUCCCGCCGCGUUCUCAGCGCGGAGAUCGCCGGUUCGAAUCCGGCACGGGCUA
This 73-nucleotide transfer RNA is filed under the name Nocardiopsaceae bacterium. Its description in RNAcentral is "tRNA-Glu". It matches the Rfam family "tRNA". Rfam says of the family: Transfer RNA (tRNA) molecules are approximately 80 nucleotides in length. Their secondary structure includes four short double-helical elements and three loops (D, anti-codon, and T loops). Further hydrogen bonds mediate the characteristic L-shaped molecular structure. tRNAs have two regions of fundamental functional importance: the anti-codon, which is responsible for specific mRNA codon recognition, and the 3' end, to which the tRNAs corresponding amino acid is attached (by aminoacyl-tRNA synthetases). tRNAs cope with the degeneracy of the genetic code in two manners: having more than one tRNA (with a specific anti-codon) for a particular amino acid; and 'wobble' base-pairing, i.e. permitting non-standard base-pairing at the 3rd anti-codon position. Lineage: Bacteria; Bacillati; Actinomycetota; Actinomycetes; Streptosporangiales; Nocardiopsidaceae. The record is from RNAcentral.